Molecule: ribosomal RNA, 505 nt
Filed under: uncultured bacterium
Lineage: Bacteria
Description: bacterial SSU rRNA
Rfam family: Bacterial small subunit ribosomal RNA
Source: RNAcentral
UCAGGAUGAACGCUAGCUACAGGCUUAACACAUGCAAGUCGAGGGGCAGCGGGAAGUCAGCUUGCUGACUUGCCGGCGACCGGCGCACGGGUGCGUAACACGUAUCCAAUCUACCCAUUGCUCAGGGAUAGCCUUUCGAAAGAAAGAUUAAUACCUGAUGGUCUGUGUUUGGGACAUCCCAGACACAGUAAAGACUUGUCGGCGAUGGAUGGGGAUGCGUCCGAUUAGGUAGUAGGCGGGGUAACGGCCCACCUAGCCGACGAUCGGUAGGGGUUCUGAGAGGAAGGUCCCCCACACUGGAACUGAGACACGGUCCAGACUCCUACGGGAGGCAGCAGUGAGGAAUAUUGGUCAAUGGGCGAAGGCCUGAACCAGCCAAAGUAGCGUGAGGGAGGACGGCCCUGCGGGUUGUAAACCUCUUUUGUUCGGGAAUAAAGUGCGGGACGUGUCCCGCUUUGUAUGUACCUUACGAAUAAGCAUCGGCUAAUUCCGUGCCAGCCGCCGC